Molecule: ribosomal RNA, 532 nt
Filed under: Heterosquilla tricarinata
Lineage: Eukaryota; Metazoa; Arthropoda; Malacostraca; Stomatopoda; Heterosquillidae
Description: partial 16S ribosomal RNA
Rfam family: Bacterial large subunit ribosomal RNA
Source: RNAcentral
UCAAAAACAUGUCCAUGUGACUAGGUUUAUAUGGUCUGGCCUGCCCACUGACAGUAAGUUAAAGGCCGGGUAUUCUGACGUGCGAAGGUAGCAUAAUAAUUAGUCUCCUAAUUAGAGGCCUUGUAUGAAUGGUCGGACAAGAUGGGGAUCUGUCUCAAUAUAAUAAAUAUAAUUUAAUAUUUAAGUAAAAAAGCUUAAAUAAAAUGGAGGGACGAUAAGACCCUAUAAAGCUUUAUAGGUACUUCUCUUUUUACUAAUUAUUUAGGUUAUGAAAAUAUUAAAGAAAAAGGUAUUAUUUUACUGGGGCGGUAAAAGUAUAUAAAAGAAUAACUGCUUUUAUUUUAUAAAACAAUUAUAAUUGAAAAAUAAAUUGAUCCAUUAUUAAUGAUCAUAAAAACAAGUUACUUUAGGGAUAACAGCGUAAUUUUUCUUGAGAGUCCUUAUCGAAAGAAAAGUUUGCGACCUCGAUGUUGAAUUAAGGAUGACCUUAAGGUGCAGCAGCUUUAAAGGUAGAUCUGUUCGAUCUUUAAUU